RNAcentral lists this non-coding RNA (45 nucleotides) under Echinostoma caproni. Lineage: Eukaryota; Metazoa; Platyhelminthes; Trematoda; Plagiorchiida; Echinostomatidae. The record is from RNAcentral.
GCCCUACCGACGAGUCCAAAACAGGACGAAACAGCUGUCCAGUGC